RNAcentral lists this ribosomal RNA (250 nucleotides) under Klebsiella quasipneumoniae subsp. similipneumoniae. RNAcentral's name for it is "partial 23S ribosomal RNA". It matches the Rfam family "Bacterial large subunit ribosomal RNA", at positions 462 to 716 of the family's 2925-position model. Lineage: Bacteria; Pseudomonadati; Pseudomonadota; Gammaproteobacteria; Enterobacterales; Enterobacteriaceae. The record is from RNAcentral.
AAGGCUAAAUACUCCUGACUGACCGAUAGUGAACCAGUACCGUGAGGGAAAGGCGAAAAGAACCCCGGCGAGGGGAGUGAAAAAGAACCUGAAACCGUGUACGUACAAGCAGUGGGAGCACCUUCGGGUGUGACUGCGUACCUUUUGUAUAAUGGGUCAGCGACUUAUAUUCUGUAGCAAGGUUAACCGUAUAGGGGAGCCGCAGGGAAACCGAGUCUUAACUGGGCGUUAAGUUGCAGGGUAUAGACCC